AGCUGCCAUGGAAGAAAUCCAGCUGCUCUGAGGCCACCGUGCUGGAGAGGCUGUGAAGGGACCACACAGAGAGACCAGGGCCCCAGCUGUGCCAGCCCCCAGCUGUUGGAGACUUCCCAGCACGAGCACCAGACUUGUGAGAGAAGAGAGAGGUGGGGAUGUCCCCUCCUCCAGCCAUCUGACUGCAGCGGCAUGAGAGGCUCCCAGGUGCAGCUGGCUCACUGGGCUCAGUCAUCCCAGAACCCUGGGAGUUGCUGUGAACGCUGCUGAACUCAUCAACCUACUUGGUCUGGCUUCUAUCUCAACCACUCCAUUGAAACUGCUCUUUGCAACUAAGUAUUUGUUGCUACACACAAAAGACACUUACCAGACCUCAUUUUACUCAACACCUUGGCAGCAUUUGACACUGCCAACCCCAUCUCCUUCCCAGAAUGUUCUGGCUCAGUGCUGCUCAAAACACGUGCUUUGUGGACCCAUACCAGUAGCCAAACUGUUACUGGUCUGCAACAAGGUCCCUUAUGCUUUCACUCCAGAAACUCUGGAUAGUAAGGAGAAAUGUGAUUUGGAGGAAUCGCUAUAACUACAGUGUAACUCAGAAGGACUGGAA
Long non-coding RNA from Manis pentadactyla (Chinese pangolin), 607 nucleotides. RefSeq lists it as uncharacterized. NCBI's taxonomy places the organism in Eukaryota, Metazoa, Chordata, Mammalia, Pholidota, Manidae. The transcript has 3 exons. The record is from RefSeq and is a predicted model, not a curated record.